AAGGGUGAACAUGCGGAAGGAUCAUUG
RNAcentral lists this ribosomal RNA (27 nucleotides) under Alstroemeria longistaminea. RNAcentral describes it as "partial 18S ribosomal RNA". Lineage: Eukaryota; Viridiplantae; Streptophyta; Magnoliopsida; Liliales; Alstroemeriaceae. The record is from RNAcentral.